CCUACGGGAGGCAGCAGUGGGGAAUAUUGCGCAAUGGGGGAAACCCUGACGCAGCGACGCCGCGUGAGCGAUGAAGGCCUUAGGGUCGUAAAGCUCUGUUGUAAGGGACGAAUGUUUAUCUGGCGAACAGUCAGAUAAAGUGACGGUACCUUACCAGCAAGCCCCGGCUAACUACGUGCCAGCAGCCGCGGUAAU
RNAcentral lists this ribosomal RNA (195 nucleotides) under uncultured bacterium. Its description in RNAcentral is "partial 16S ribosomal RNA". It matches the Rfam family "Bacterial small subunit ribosomal RNA", at positions 338 to 524 of the family's 1533-position model. The record is from RNAcentral.